Molecule: ribosomal RNA, 293 nt
Filed under: uncultured bacterium
Lineage: Bacteria
Description: partial 16S ribosomal RNA
Rfam family: Bacterial small subunit ribosomal RNA
Source: RNAcentral
GGAUUAGAUACCCUGGUAGUCCACGCCGUAAACGAUGUCAACUAGCCGUUGGGAGGGUCAUCCUCUGAGUGGCGCAGCUAACGCACUAAGUUGACCGCCUGGGGAGUACGGUCGCAAGAUUAAAACUCAAAUGAAUUGACGGGGGCCCGCACAAGCGGUGGAGCAUGUGGUUUAAUUCGACGCAACGCGAAGAACCUUACCUGGUCUUGACAUCCUGCGAACUUUCUAGAGAUAGAUUGGUGCCUUCGGGAACGCAGUGACAGGUGCUGCAUGGCUGUCGUCAGCUCGUGCUG